Ornithodoros turicata is the source of this 165-nucleotide long non-coding RNA. RefSeq lists it as uncharacterized. NCBI's taxonomy places the organism in Eukaryota, Metazoa, Arthropoda, Arachnida, Ixodida, Argasidae. The record is from RefSeq and is a predicted model, not a curated record. The transcript has 3 exons.
CACAAGUGACUUUUAUGAAAUAGGAGAUGUUUUCGGACGCGCUUGGACUUCUCUGCUGCGUUAGCGAGACUUGACAGGCUAAGAGGGUCUCCACUUUCCUGUUUCCCGCCGUGAAAAUGAAUCAUGUCAGACGAGGAUCGCCAAGGCAACUAACCUUUUUUCAUG